UACAGAGGGUGCGAGCGUUUAAUCGGAAUUACUGGGCGUAAAGCGCACGUAGGCGGCUUUGUAAGUUAGAGGUGAAAGCCCGGGGCUCAACUCCGGAAUUGCCUUUAAGACUGCAUCGCUAGAAUUGUGGAGAGGUAAGUGGAAUUCCGAGUGUAGAGGUGAAAUUCGUAGAUAUUCGGAAGAACACCAGUGGCGAAGGCGACUUACUGGACACAUAUUGACGCUGAGGUGCGAAAGCGUGGGGAGCAAACAGG
RNAcentral lists this ribosomal RNA (254 nucleotides) under uncultured bacterium. RNAcentral's name for it is "partial 16S ribosomal RNA". It matches the Rfam family "Bacterial small subunit ribosomal RNA", at positions 524 to 776 of the family's 1533-position model. The record is from RNAcentral.